CUUGAAAUAUGAAAAUUCUACAAUUGCACAAUUGAAAUCAAUGAACAAUAGAGAUCGAAAUUUUAAAACCGAUUUAAUAUUUAAAAAACAAAUGGAUUCCUUCGGUUGGAGCAUGGAUGUAACUUCACAGAAUGAAUUGUUGAUUGGUGCCCCCGCUGCGCAUACAGGACGGGUAAUAAAAUAUGAUAAGGCUUCAAAUUCGGUUGACCCGCGCUUAAUCCACAAAAUCAGUUACGAAAAUCCCGUUACA
Long non-coding RNA from Melitaea cinxia (Glanville fritillary), 250 nucleotides. RefSeq lists it as uncharacterized. Lineage: Eukaryota; Metazoa; Arthropoda; Insecta; Lepidoptera; Nymphalidae. The record is from RefSeq and is a predicted model, not a curated record. The transcript has 3 exons.